AUGUCUGGAUCUCCUGCCGUGUGGCCGGAGCUGCCGGAGGACAUCCUGAUGGUCGUCCUCGCCGCCCUCGAGAUCCCCGACCUCAUGCGCGCCGGCUGCAUCUGCACCUCGUGGCACUCCGCCUACACCGCCCUGCGCAGCCUCGGCAAGCAGAAGCAGACCCAGACGCCAUGCCUGCUCUACACCUCUGAAUCCGCCGGUGAGCAUGUUGCGUGCCUCUACAGCCUCAUGGAGAAGAGGGUCUACAGGCUGACCCCGGAGCCGCCUCUCCGCCACUGGUUCAUCAUCGGGUCCUCAUUGGGCUUCCUGGUCACCGUCGAUGACAGGUCCGAGAUGCACCUCGUCAAUCCAAUCACCGGCCAGCAGAUUGCUCUCCCUUCAGUGACCACCAUCGAGUACGUGAAGCCCAUCUUUGACGAGUCACGUUCUGUCCACGAGUAUGAAUACCCAAGUCACUCUUCAAGAGAAGCUUUCUUCACGCCGUCGAUCAUGCCUCGUUGCAAGCUGAGGGAAUACUGCUUCCAGUUCAAGGCGUUUGUGUUCCAUGAUGCACCCACAGGAAGCUACAUCGUGGUGCUCAUCCACAAGCCAUUCACUCACAUCUCGUUUGCAAGAGUACGGGAUGAUAAGUGGACCUUGCUGCGACCACACUGUCACUACCGUGACUGCACCUACAAGGAUGGGUUCUUGUAUGCAGCGAGUUUGAUGGGAGAAAUCCAUGCCUUCGAUCUUAGUGGUCCUGCUGUUACAAUGAAGAUUAUUAGGGGCAGCGACGACGAUUUUGAUCCCGAUGCUGUACAGAUCGUUCAGGCCCCAUGGGGUGGUCUGCUGCUUGUUUCAAGAUUAAAAGAGUUCGAAGAUCCUGACCCUAAAGUUUCUGCCCUGAAUACUAUGGAAAUUAAGUUACACAGAGUUGAUGAUGGCGCAGAGAAGCUUGUGGAAAUUGAUUGCUUGCCUGACCAUGUGCUAUUUCUUGGGCUUAACGAUACACUUUGUAGUGCCAAAAAUUACCCUGCUCUCAAGGGGAAUCAUGCCUACUUUACUGACGAUCAAGAGUACAAUCAAAGACGUAAGAGUAGUCGUCGUGACAUUGGAGUAGUUGACUUGGGCAAUAAUAGUAAGGAGGACCUUGUGUCUCCUCAGCUUUGA
RNAcentral lists this ribosomal RNA (1149 nucleotides) under Triticum aestivum (bread wheat). RNAcentral's name for it is "partial small subunit ribosomal RNA". The record is from RNAcentral. Lineage: Eukaryota; Viridiplantae; Streptophyta; Magnoliopsida; Poales; Poaceae.